RNAcentral lists this ribosomal RNA (956 nucleotides) under uncultured bacterium. RNAcentral describes it as "bacterial SSU rRNA". It matches the Rfam family "Bacterial small subunit ribosomal RNA", at positions 421 to 1378 of the family's 1533-position model. The record is from RNAcentral.
GGUUUUAACCCGCUUUUAGUAAGGAAGAAAGGGGAGCUUUGCUCUGACGGUACUUGCAGAAAAAGGACCGGCUAACUACGUGCCCAGCAGCCGCGGUAAUACGUAGGGUCCGAGCGUUGUCCGGAAUUAUUGGGCGUAAAGAGCUCGUAGGCGGUUUGUCACGUCUGCUGUGAAAUCCCGAGGCUCAACCUCGGGUCUGCAGUGGGUACGGGCAGACUGGAGUGCGGUAGGGGAGAAUGGAAUUCCUGGUGUAGCGGUGGAAUGCGCAGAUAUCAGGAGGAACACCGGUGGCGAAGGCAGUUCUCUGGGCCGUAACUGACGCUGAGGAGCGAAAGCGUGGGGAGCGAACAGGAUUAGAUACCCUGGUAGUCCACGCCGUAAACGUUGGGCGCUAGAUGUGGGGACCCUUCCACGGUUUCCGUGUCGUAGCUAACGCAUUAAGCGCCCCGCCUGGGGAGUACGGCCGCAAGGCUAAAACUCAAAGGAAUUGACGGGGGCCCGCACAAGCGGCGGAGCAUGCGGAUUAAUUCGAUGCAACGCGAAGAACCUUACCAAGGCUUGACAUGACCGAGAACGCCGCAGAAAUGUGGAACUCUUUGGACACUCGGUUACAGGUGGUGCAUGGUUGUCGUCAGCUCGUGUCGUGAGAUGUUGGGUUAAGUCCCGCAACGAGCGCAACCCUCGUCGUAUGUUGCCAGCACGUGAUGGUGGGAACUCAUAUGAGACUGCCGGGGUCAACUCGGAGGAAGGUGGGGAUGACGUCAAAUCAUCAUGCCCCUUAUGUCUUGGGCUUCACGCAUGCUACAAUGGCCGGUACAAAGGGCUGCGAUGUCGUAAGGCGGAGCGAAUCCCAAAAAGCCGGUCUCAGUUCGGAUUGAGGUCUGCAACUCGACCUCAUGAAGUCGGAGUCGCUAGUAAUCGCAGAUCAGCAACGCCGCGGUGAAUACGUUCCCGGG